This 627-nucleotide ribosomal RNA is filed under the name uncultured archaeon. Its description in RNAcentral is "bacterial SSU rRNA". It matches the Rfam family "Archaeal small subunit ribosomal RNA", at positions 147 to 774 of the family's 1478-position model. The record is from RNAcentral.
UAAUACUGGAUAGGCAAUUAUUCCUGUAAUGGUUUUUUGUUUAAAUGUUUUUUCGCCUAAGGAUGGGUCUGCGGCCGAUUAGGUAGUUGGUUAGGUAAUGGCUUACCAAGCCUUUGAUCGGUACGGGUUGUGAGAGCAAGAGCCCGGAGAUGGAACCUGAGACAAGGCUCCAGGCCCUACGGGGUGCAGCAGGCGCGAAACCUCCGCAAUGUGAGAAAUCGCGACGGGGGGAUCCCAAGUGCCAUUCUUAACGGGAUGGCUUUUCUUUAGUGUAAAAAGCUUUUGGAAUAAGAGCUGGGCAAGACCGGUGCCAGCCGCCGCGGUAACACCGGCAGCUCUAGUGGUAGCAAUUUUUAUUGGGCCUAAAGCGUCCGUAGCCGGUUUAAUAAGUCUCUGGUGAAAUCCUGUAGCUUAACUGUGGGAAUUGCUGGAGAUACUAUUAGACUUGAGACCGGGAGAGGUUAGAGGUACUCCCAGGGUAGAGGUGAAAUUCUGUAAUCCUGGGAGGACCGCCUGUUGCGAAGGCGUCUAACUGGAACGGUUCUGACGGUGAGGGACGAAAGUUAGGGGCGCGGACCGGAUUAGAUACCCGGGUAGUCCUAACUGUAAACGAUGCGGACUUGGUGU